UUGUCCAGGAAAGUAUGUUGUGGAGCUCAGGUACGCAAUCGCUCCUUGUAAGAAAGACAGUGGUAUUUAGCGGUUAGAUUAGAGGCCGACCCCAACAUAUUUUGGAAAAGGCUAGGACGAUGAUGACAGGAAAAAAAAUAUUAGGAAAGAGAAAACUUGGCAACCCAAGAAAGUGUAAAACAUAACUGCGCAUGAAUAGCUUACAAUGUCAGGCAUAAUUUUCCCUGCACCACAGUAGGUAUCUAGUUUCAAACCGAUUGGUCCUAGCGAUACGCGUGGGAAGAUAGCCUCGUCGAAUAAUAUACUACUUCUGGUAUUAACUUCCUAUUGAUUCGCCGAUAUUUAAUGGACUAAUCAAUAAACAUCACGUUCGUAAUUACGGCUAUACUUUGGUAAUAAAUAGGCACACAGUAGGUACCUACACUACAAAGUUGAUAGGUUAUUCAAAAGAAAAUCGUCAUUACUUGAGAGAGAAAUGACGAUUUUUUUUAUCAUAAAAGUUAUUUACAUUAUCACGACCAAUGCAGCUUUUUUACCUUUUUUUGCAACUUUGAAAAAUGAAAGUCUGGUAUAUAAAGUUUUUAGCCGAACAGGCCUUUUAAAAGAUUAUUCCGUCCAAGCUAAUUUGCUUUCAUUCGAUUUCAUUUCACAUAUUUCUAUUUGAAAGCUGUUCUAACAUGCACAUUCUAUCUCUACGACGAAUUUCAUCGAGUCAGACUUGUCAUUAUGAUUUGAUGAACUUUCGAAUGUAUUCAUAACUUUUUUUUUCAUUUAAUCUUAUUGACAUUGACUUUGCCCGUCGUGUCAGCAAAAUUAAGUUUUUAAAUUUGGAAAUCGUUGCCUCUAAUCACUCCAUAUUAUAAAAUAGAGCCGCUUUUUCUGUCCUUAUUUCCCUUUGACUACAUACUUAAAUAAUUAUACUGAAUACUACGACGCUUAUUAAGCUUUUAAGCCCGAAAGAAAUGGUAACUACUACUUAGUCCCAGAUAAACCUUACAUUUGUAGCAGGCUUGGCCCGGUUCACCGGAGACAUCCUUAAGACAGACAAGGCUACCGAAGGCUCUUUGACUUUUCCGACUCUAGUAUUAUUAUUUACCAUGAAUAUAUUAACGAGACGAUCAUUCAACACGAUUUAUUGCUGAAUCGGUACAUUGAUCGCUACUGGUCACGUGCUCCACAAACCUGCUUUACUUGGGGAAUACCUCUAGUAGUGUCUGAAUCUAUAUAUAGUUAUAGUAUAUUGAAACCAUAUCAGGUGUGUAAUUAGCAUUUUUAUUUUAAGGUUUUUACCAAAUAAACAUUUCGAGACGUUUGUGUUUUCCCUUCAGGUUAAAUUGUCUAUUUUUAAAUCUGUUUUUACGUUUGGAAAUUUUGGUUUUCGGAUGAGUUGUCCAAAGAGAAUUGUAAAAUAAAUCAAGUUUUGAAAAAAGUGAUUAAUUAAACAAAGAUGGAAUUAAUGAGCGAAAAAAAAAUAUAAACACUUUUUAUUUGGAACUAUUUAAAUUGAUUUCAUAAAGUCCGAGAGCAGAAAAUCACAAAAUCAAUCAGGUGGUUUCACAUACCUACACAUAGAUACCCAGUCUCAGGACAAGCGUUUGUGGAUUAUAUAAACUCUUGUCUUAAUCACGGAUCGAACCCGCGACACAUCGUGCACCGAGGGUUUCGCAUGGUGACCUCAACCACUCGCUGCCCAAAGAAAGCAAAAUCAACGCAAAAUCUUGGGACCUGUGCAGAGGCCUGACGGGAGCUGGCGAUUACGAAAAAACGCCGAAAUUGAAGAAUUCCCAGCCAUCCCCAACAUCAUUGGAAAAAUAAAAGCUCACAGACUCUGUUGGCUCGGCCACGUUGAAAGGAUGGAAGAAGAUCGAGGUGUGAAGAGAGCAUAUUUCCCAGGUGACCCAGGUAUCGCUGAGGUGAUACAGUUGAGGCGGAUCUUCGGGCGCUUCAUGCCGUUGACUGGGGAGAAGUGGAGAAGGAUCGGAGUCUAUGCAGCAGCUUUAUAACGACAGGAGCAGCAAACGGAAGCGUGACAGCGCGAUA
Molecule: RNA transcript, 2040 nt
Organism: Trichoplusia ni (cabbage looper)
Lineage: Eukaryota; Metazoa; Arthropoda; Insecta; Lepidoptera; Noctuidae
Exons: 6
Source: RefSeq, a predicted model, not a curated record